AUGCGCGAGUGUGUUAUCUCCUUCUUCGGCAACAUUCUCAUCUUCAGCAAAACCCUGACUGAGCACAUCCAGCACAUUGCACGCGUGCUUCAGCUACUCAGAGACGACCACUAGCAAGUUAAACAGUCCAAGUGCUCCUUCGCUCAGCGCCAGAUCGCCUACUUGGGCCAUGUGAUAGAUGAGCGCGGCGUCUCUACCGACCCCAGCAAGGUUCAGACAAUCCAACAGUGGCCUACUCCCCAAUGCGCCAAAGACGUGCGCAUCUUCCUUGGCCUUGCCGGCUAUUAUCGGAAUUUUGUCCAACAUUUUGGGAUCAUCUCAAGACCACUGUUCACCUUGCUCAAGAAAAACCAUCAAUUUGUUUGGACAAGCAACACACAGAAGGCGUUUGAAGCUCACCUCUGCACCUGUACUGUAACUUCCAGAUUUCAGUAA
Molecule: ribosomal RNA, 435 nt
Filed under: Triticum aestivum (bread wheat)
Lineage: Eukaryota; Viridiplantae; Streptophyta; Magnoliopsida; Poales; Poaceae
Description: partial small subunit ribosomal RNA
Source: RNAcentral